AGAGUUUGAUCCUGGCUCAGAACGAACGCUGGCGGCGUGCUUAACACAUGCAAGUCGAACGGGAUUAGGGGCUUGCUCCUAAUCUAGUGGCGCACGGGUGAGUAACGCGUGGAUAAUCUGCCUGAUGAUCUGGGAUAACAUUUCGAAAGGGGUGCUAAUACCGGAUAAGCCCACGAGGACUUCGGUUUUUGCGGGAAAAGAGGGGGACCUUCGGGCCUCUUGUCAUCAGAUGAGUCCGCGUACCAUUAGCUAGUUGGUGGGGUAAAGGCCUACCAAGGCGACGAUGGUUAGCUGGUCUGAGAGGAUGAUCAGCCACACUGGAACUGAGACACGGUCCAGACUCCUACGGGAGGCAGCAGUGGGGAAUUUUGCGCAAUGGGGGAAACCCUGACGCAGCAACGCCGCGUGAGUGAUGAAGGCCUUCGGGUCGUAAAGCUCUGUCUAGAGGAAAGAAGUGUGGGGCGGCUAAUAACCGUUUCACUUGACGGUACCUCUGAAGGAAGCACCGGCUAACUCCGUGCCAGCAGCCGCGGUAAUACGGAGGGUGCGAGCGUUGUUCGGAAUUAUUGGGCGUAAAGCGCGUGUAGGCGGUUUCUUAAGUCUGAUGUGAAAGCCCCGGGCCUAACCUGGGAAGUGCAUUGGAUACUGGGAGACUUGAGUACGGGAGAGGGUAGUGGAAUUCCUAGUGUAGGAGUGAAAUCCGUAGAUAUUAGGAGGAACACCGGUGGCGAAGGCGGCUGCCUGGACCGAUACUGACGCUGAGACGCGAAAGCGUGGGUAGCAAACAGGAUUAGAUACCCUGGUAGUCCACGCCGUAAACGAUGAGUACUAGGUGUUGCGGGUAUUGACCCCUGCAGUGCCGCAGCUAACGCAUUAAGUACUCCGCCUGGGAAGUACGGUCGCAAGACUAAAACUCAAAGGAAUUGAUGG
This 930-nucleotide ribosomal RNA is filed under the name uncultured bacterium. RNAcentral describes it as "bacterial SSU rRNA". It matches the Rfam family "Bacterial small subunit ribosomal RNA", at positions 8 to 916 of the family's 1533-position model. The record is from RNAcentral.